AAUAUUGGACAAUGGGCGAAAGCCUGAUCCAGCCAUGCCGCGUGUGUGAAGAAGGUCUUCGGAUUGUAAAGCACUUUAAGUUGGGAGGAAGGGGUUGAAGCUACUACCUUCAAUCUUUGACGUUACCACCACAAUAAGCACCGGCUUACUUCGUGCCAGCAGCCGCGGUAAUACGAAGGGUGCAAGCGUUAAUCGGAAUUACUGGGCGUAAAGCGUGCGUAGGUGGUUCAGUAAGAUGGAAGUGAAAUCCCCGGGCUUAACCUGGGAACUGCUUUCAUAACUGCUGAGCUAGAGUACGGUAGAGGGUAGUGGAAUUUCCUGUGUAGCGGUGAAAUGCGUAGAUAUAGGAAGGAACAUCAGUGGCGAAGGCGACUACCUGGACUGAUACUGACACUGAGGUGCGAAAGCGUGGGGAGCAAACAGG
This 424-nucleotide ribosomal RNA is filed under the name uncultured bacterium. RNAcentral's name for it is "partial 16S ribosomal RNA". It matches the Rfam family "Bacterial small subunit ribosomal RNA", at positions 360 to 776 of the family's 1533-position model. The record is from RNAcentral.